Pseudophryne corroboree (corroboree frog) is the source of this 617-nucleotide long non-coding RNA. RefSeq lists it as uncharacterized. Lineage: Eukaryota; Metazoa; Chordata; Amphibia; Anura; Myobatrachidae. The transcript has 2 exons. The record is from RefSeq and is a predicted model, not a curated record.
CAGCUCACUUCCGACAAAGCACUCAGCACUGCCGCUGCCCGCUGCCUUCAUGCUCCUAAUCCUCCUGUGCUCUGGCUAGAGGCCGACUACAAGUAUAAAUGGAGCGAGAGUGAUCACAAAGUGAGGGCUGGCUGCCGGAGACCAGGAGGAAAACGGACAAAGAUCAAAGUUUGUUUUAAAUGUUAUUGUCAGAGAAUGUCCUAAUUCCAUAUAAACAUCAUCAGGAGGGACGUCAGGUAUAGGUCUGUCUGCAGCCAUAUUGGGACUGCCAUGGCGCCCAGGUCACGACGGAAAUGUUUUUCUGCUUUUCCUGUUUGAAUUAAUUUACUAACAAUUUUAUAUAUAUAUAUAUAUAUAUCACCAGCAUAUGCAGUUGUACUUUAUAUUUGGGCACAAAGUAAUAAAACAAGGCUUGAUGUGAUGUCCUCGGCCCCGCCCCCAAGAGCUGCUGCAUCGCCUCUUUCCUCUGAGGGUCAGUGUACCUGUGAGAUGUGUUUGCCCCUGGAACGGCGCACGCAAAGCAAGUCCGUGAGGGAACGUGCUUCUACUAAUUUGGGUCAUAUGUGGUUAAACAUACAAAAUUACACCCCAAAAUAAAAUAAAAACUUGUGUCAACA